GGGGGGGGGGGGGGGGGGGGGGGGGAGAGGCAGGUCGAGCGGGAGGGUUUUGAAAGCUUUGUUCGGAGGGAAUUUGAUUUAGUUUAGGGGCGGACGGGUGAGUAACGCGUGAGUAACCUGCCUUCAGGAGGGGAAUAACAUUCUGCAAAGCAUGCUAAUACCGCAUGACAUAUCGGAACCACAUGGUUUUGAUAUCAAAGAGUUUAUCGCUUGAAGAUGGACUCGCGUACGAUUAGUUAGUUGGUGAGGUAACGGCUCACCAAGACCGCGAUCGGUAGCCGGACUGAGAGGUUGAACGGCCACAUUGGGACUGAGACACGGCCCAGACUCCUACGGGAGGCAGCAGUGAGGGAUAUUGCGCAAUGGGGGCAACCCUGACGCAGCAACGCCGCGUGAAGGAUGAAGGUUUUCGGAUUGUAAACUUCUUUUAUUAAGGACGAAAAAUGACGGUACUUAAUGAAUAAGCUCCGGCUAACUACGUG
RNAcentral lists this ribosomal RNA (482 nucleotides) under uncultured bacterium. RNAcentral describes it as "partial 16S ribosomal RNA". It matches the Rfam family "Bacterial small subunit ribosomal RNA", at positions 36 to 507 of the family's 1533-position model. The record is from RNAcentral.